Danio rerio (zebrafish) is the source of this 142-nucleotide small nucleolar RNA. NCBI's taxonomy places the organism in Eukaryota, Metazoa, Chordata, Actinopteri, Cypriniformes, Danionidae. The record is from Ensembl.
CAUGCACACGGUUAAAGCCUGGCACUGAUGUUGGUGUUUGGGUGUCGGAAGUGUGCUAAAUAAACAUGGCUAGGUAUUCGCUAACACCAGUAGGGCUGAAGUGCCUCAUGACUGGAGUUUGAUAGCAACCUUUGCUACAUUU